Arachis ipaensis is the source of this 326-nucleotide non-coding RNA. Lineage: Eukaryota; Viridiplantae; Streptophyta; Magnoliopsida; Fabales; Fabaceae. The record is from RefSeq and is a predicted model, not a curated record.
UUCUGAGAAAGACAAGGUUUCCCCUUGUCCAAGGCACCAGCGACUAGUAUUCACCUCAGACAAUUCUGGAACAUGACCGAAUAAUUUGGCUGGGGGAUUUAAAUUAUCGGGUAGCCCUUUCUUAUCGUGCAGCGAAAGCUCUUGUUGAGAUGCAUAACCGGAAGGACUUGUUAGAGAAUGACCAACUGCGAAUAGAGCAGAGGCAAGGUCGAGUAUUCGAAGGAUGGAACAAAUGGAAAAUAUACUUCCCUCCCACAUACAAGUAUUCAAACAACUCAGGCAGGUAUGCAGGAGAUGGAAGACAUUCAAAACAAAAGAGAACUCCA